This 636-nucleotide ribosomal RNA is filed under the name uncultured bacterium. RNAcentral's name for it is "bacterial SSU rRNA". The stretch from base 1 to 534 matches the Rfam family "Bacterial small subunit ribosomal RNA", at positions 338 to 873 of the family's 1533-position model. The record is from RNAcentral.
CCUACGGGAGGCAGCAGUGAGGAAUAUUGGACAAUGGGCGCAAGCCUGAUCCAGCCAUGCCGCGUGCAGGAAGAAGCAUCUAUGGUGUGUAAACUGCUUUUGUACAGGAAGAAACACUCCCUCGUGAGGGAGCUUGACGGUACUGUAAGAAUAAGGACCGGCUAACUCCGUGCCAGCAGCCGCGGUAAUACGGAGGGUCCGAGCGUUAUCCGGAAUCAUUGGGUUUAAAGGGUCCGUAGGCGGUUUAAUAAGUCAGUGGUGAAAUCUGGUCGCUCAACGAUCAAACGGCCAUUGAUACUGUUAGACUUGAAUUAUAAGGAAGUAACUAGAAUAUGUAGUGUAGCGGUGAAAUGCUUAGAUAUUACAUGGAAUACCAAUUGCGAAGGCAGGUUACUACUUAUGGAUUGACGCUGAUGGACGAAAGCGUGGGGAGCGAACAGGAUUAGAUACCCUGGUAGUCCACGCCGUAAACGAUGGAUACUAGCUGUUCGGAGCAAUCUGNGUGNGUAGACGAAGUAGAGUAAGUAUACCACCGUACGGGUAGGUACGGUUACGUACGAAGAAGUAGAAACGUACGAAACGUAAGUUAGUACGGACGUGAGACGUAGACCGACGGACGACGACGGAGGGAGGAGG